RNAcentral lists this ribosomal RNA (306 nucleotides) under uncultured bacterium. RNAcentral describes it as "partial 16S ribosomal RNA". It matches the Rfam family "Bacterial small subunit ribosomal RNA", at positions 507 to 807 of the family's 1533-position model. The record is from RNAcentral.
GACAGCAGCCGCCACGGGAAUACGUAGGGUCCGAGCGUUGUCCGGAAUUAUUGGGCGUAAAGGGCUCGUAGGCGGUUUGUUGCGUCGGGAGUGAAAACACCAGGCUUAACUUGGUGCUUGCUUUCGAUACGGGCAGACUUGAGGCAUGCAGGGGAGAACGGAAUUCCUGGUGUAGCGGUGAAAUGCGCAGAUAUCAGGAGGAACACCGGUGGCGAAGGCGGUUCUCUGGGCAUGUUCUGACGCUGAGGAGCGAAAGUGUGGGGAGCGAACAGGAUUAGAGACCCCCGUAGUCCCUGUCUCUUAUAC